Long non-coding RNA from Balaenoptera ricei (Rice's whale), 2194 nucleotides. RefSeq lists it as uncharacterized. NCBI's taxonomy places the organism in Eukaryota, Metazoa, Chordata, Mammalia, Artiodactyla, Balaenopteridae. The record is from RefSeq and is a predicted model, not a curated record. The transcript is spliced from 7 exons.
CUGCAGGAGGGGUGGGAGUGCCCUCCGGUGAUUAAACAGCCCCCGCCUCUGGUAGGUGCUGAGAGGGCGAGAUUAAGCGGGCACUUACUGUAUGGACUGUAUGGGCUACGUGUUGACCGCAUCACCUUGUAUCCCUCGGGCUCCGCCACCAGCGAGGAGAAGUUACAUCUUCUGGGAUCAGGGAGAAGAGAAUCUCACCCCUGACUCCUAACAGGGGCCUUCAACCCAGGGAGUCACAUCAGGAACCCAGUUCAAAAGAAGGACGCUCGCAUCUCCCUGCUAAGGAUGGGUUUCUGUGCCUCAGAGAUCCCCUACCUACCACCAGGCACCCCGGCCCUCCGUGCUCCCACUCAGGACUGUGCCAUCCAUCAGACCCUGUGGCUGAAGACCUGGCUUCUCCAUCCCCCACCCCACCUCACCGAAACUAGGCCAUCUCCAGGGCAGCCCCUAGACACCCCUCGCCCAAGAGGGAUCUCUACAAUCAUCAUUCCCGGACUCUCCCUGCCUUCUGUGAAGAUUCUCAAGGGUCCUCGCAGAAACGGCUCCCAAGGAACUUUCUGCUAAGUGUGUGAAGGCCAGAGCUCCUGCUGACUUUUGCUCGGGACCACCACCAGCUGAAAGUCUGGACAGUCUUUCCACACGUGGGCCAAUACACACCACCCUCCCCCCGACCACCAACCCUCUGUCACCAAUGCCCACGGGACAGUGACUGGUCCAGCAUGGAGACGCUCUUGUUGACACUCAGCAUCUUCUGCUCCGGUUCUGUGAUGUCCGAGCUGCUCGUGCAGUACGCGGGUCCUCUGAGGGCAGGGGCCAAGCCUCAUGGCUCUCUGUCUGCUCUACGGCACCAAGCACAAUGCUUUGCCCAUAACUGGUUCUCAGUCCUCUUUGAAGAUGGACAGAUGGAUGAACAGAUGAACACACGACUCCCCCAACCCUGGCCCCCCAACCCAGGGUUCCCAGUCUCACCAAUGGGAGUUGACCACCUUGCACAGGGCCAACUCACAGCACAUCCGCAGGUUGGCCUGGUGCUCUGCCAGACUGGACGCCGUGCACUUGAUGGGGUCCACCUCACAGUUCUCCUCAGAUUCAUACAGAGCACGGAUGAAUUCCCCUGCGGAGGAUGUGAACCAGCGCGCUGGCGACCUCCUCCUUGCCCUUGACAUUCAGGGCGGGCUCCAACACCGCACACAGCAUCCGAUAAUGGUUGGUGACAUACUCUGCAAACUCUUUAUAUAGCUCCAUGGGCAGGAUGCUCAUUGUCUGGUAACGCGCUUUUAGCCGCACAGCCGGGCAACCUCCUUUGCCCUUGCCCCCUGAGCCACCCCCUGAGCCCCCUCCCCCUCCCGAGCCCCCCAUGCCCCCGGAGCCCCCACUGCCUGUCGGCAGGGUCACGGGGUACCACUGCUCUGUGAAGUGGCGCCCAGCCAGGGUGGCCACAGGCACAGUCACCAGGCCGACAUAGCCCGCCUUGUCCUUCUUGCGCUUUUUGUCUGAGUCACGGUACAGGUGCAGCCGCAGGGCUCGGACGGCUGGCAGGUUGUUGAACUCGAAGUGCUCGCCCCAGAAGACGGUGUCCCCCGAGGCCGAGCGGGGCUUGGAGGUGGUGCGUGCAUACAGCAUAUCAUCCAGGCAGAGCUCGCAAUAGUACCGCUUCUUGGGGGGCAGUUCCCGCGCCUCUAUGAUCCACAGCUUCAACACGUUGUCCACCCGGCGGCUGUUGUCCUGGCAGGGUAGGGCGGGCACGGCAGAUGAAGGGGAAGGGACAGAGAGACAGAGACACCAAAAGAGGAGAGACGGUGAAAAAGCCAGACAGUCUCCGACACCAGCAAUCACAGGGCUGAGAAGGCGUGUGCAGGAUUAAACCGUGUCACCCCGGAAUUCAUAUCUUAUAGUCAUAUUAAGUGACUAUAGUCACUUAAGACGUGGUCGUACUGGACAAGGGUGGCCCCUAAAUCCAAUGACUGGGGUCUAUAUGGAGAGGGAGAUUUGGAGACCAGAGACACACGGAGGGGAGAUGACCACAUGAAGAUGGAGGCAGAAAGUGCACAGAUGCAGCAAGAAGUCAAGGGAUGCCAGAGACUGCCGGCAACCACCAGCAGGUAUGAAGGGACAAGGGAGGAUUCUUCCUAGAGCUUCCGAGGGAGCAAGGCCCUGCUGACACCUUGAUUUUUGACUUCCGAUCUCCCGAACU